GUGGGGAAUAUUGCGCAAUGGGGGAAACCCUGACGCAGCAAUACCGCGUGAGUGAAGAAGGUUUUCGGAUCGUAAAGCUCUUUCGUUAGGGACGAACGUGCUCUUUGUGAAUAAUGAGGAGUAAUGACGGUACCUAAAUAAGAAGCCACGGCUAACUACGUGCCAGCAGCCGCGGUAAUACGUAGGUGGCAAGCGUUGUCCGGAAUUAUUGGGCGUAAAGCGCGCGCAGGCGGGAUAUCAAGUCUGUCUUAAAAGUGCGAGGCUCAACCUCGUGAGGGGACAGAAACUGGUAUUCUUGAGUGUCGGAGAGGAAAGUGGAAUUCCAAGUGUAGCGGUGAAAUGCGUAGAGAUUUGGAAGAACACCAGUGGCGAAGGCGACUUUCUGGACGAUGUCUGACGCUGAGGCGCGAAAGCUAGGGGAGCGAACGGGAUUAGAAACCCUUGUAGUCC
Molecule: ribosomal RNA, 450 nt
Filed under: uncultured bacterium
Lineage: Bacteria
Description: partial 16S ribosomal RNA
Rfam family: Bacterial small subunit ribosomal RNA
Source: RNAcentral